AACGAACGCUGGCGGCAUGCCUAACACAUGCAAGUCGAACGAGACCUUCGGGUCUAGUGGCGCACGGGUGCGUAACGCGUGGGAACCUGCCCUUAGGUUCGGAAUAACUCCCCGAAAGGGGUGCUAAUACCGGAUAAUGUCUUCGGACCAAAGAUUUAUCGCCUUUGGAUGGGCCCGCGUUGGAUUAGCUAGUUGGUAGGGUAAAAGCCUACCAAGGCGACGAUCCAUAGCUGGUCUGAGAGGCUGAUCAGCCACACUGGGACUGAGACACGGCCCAGACUCCUACGGGAGGCAGCAGUGGGGAAUAUUGGACAAUGGGCGAAAUCCUGAUCCAGCACUGCCGCGUGAGUGAUGAAGGCCUUAGGGUUGUAAAGCUCUUUUACCCGGGAUGAUAAUGACAGUACCGGGAGAAUAAGCGCCGGCUAACUCCGUG
Molecule: ribosomal RNA, 433 nt
Filed under: uncultured bacterium
Lineage: Bacteria
Description: partial 16S ribosomal RNA
Rfam family: Bacterial small subunit ribosomal RNA
Source: RNAcentral